UACCAGCACCCCGAGUGGUCGGGACGAUUAUUGGGCCUAAAGCGUCCGUAGCCGGUCCUACAAGUCUUCCGUUAAAUCCACCUGCUUAACAGAUGGGCUGCGGAAGAUACUAUAGGGCUAGGAGGCGGGAGAGGCAAGCGGUACUCAGUGGGUAGGGGUAAAAUCCUCUGAUCCAUUGAAGACCACCAGUGGCGAAGGCGGCUUGCUAGAACGCGCUCGACGGUGAGGGAUGAAAGCUGGGGGAGCAAACCGG
Molecule: ribosomal RNA, 253 nt
Filed under: uncultured bacterium
Lineage: Bacteria
Description: partial 16S ribosomal RNA
Rfam family: Archaeal small subunit ribosomal RNA
Source: RNAcentral